This 771-nucleotide ribosomal RNA is filed under the name Salmonella enterica. Its description in RNAcentral is "partial 23S ribosomal RNA". It matches the Rfam family "Bacterial large subunit ribosomal RNA", at positions 987 to 1757 of the family's 2925-position model. The record is from RNAcentral. Lineage: Bacteria; Pseudomonadati; Pseudomonadota; Gammaproteobacteria; Enterobacterales; Enterobacteriaceae.
CACGGCGGGUGCUAACGUCCGUCGUGAAGAGGGAAACAACCCAGACCGCCAGCUAAGGUCCCAAAGUCAUGGUUAAGUGGGAAACGAUGUGGGAAGGCCCAGACAGCCAGGAUGUUGGCUUAGAAGCAGCCAUCAUUUAAAGAAAGCGUAAUAGCUCACUGGUCGAGUCGGCCUGCGCGGAAGAUGUAACGGGGCUAAACCAUGCACCGAAGCUGCGGCAGCGACGCUGAUGCGUUGUUGGGUAGGGGAGCGUUCUGUAAGCCUGUGAAGGUGGCCUGUGAGGGUUGCUGGAGGUAUCAGAAGUGCGAAUGCUGACAUAAGUAACGAUAAAGCGGGUGAAAAGCCCGCUCGCCGGAAGACCAAGGGUUCCUGUCCAACGUUAAUCGGGGCAGGGUGAGUCGACCCCUAAGGCGAGGCCGAAAGGCGUAGUCGAUGGGAAACGGGUUAAUAUUCCCGUACUUGGUGUUACUGCGAAGGGGGGACGGAGAAGGCUAUGUUGGCCGGGCGACGGUUGUCCCGGUUUAAGCGUGUAGGUGUGUGUUCCAGGUAAAUCCGGUUCACUUUAACACUGAGGCGUGAUGACGAGGCACUACGGUGCUGAAGCAACAAAUGCCCUGCUUCCAGGAAAAGCCUCUAAGCAUCAGGUAACAUCAAAUCGUACCCCAAACCGACACAGGUGGUCAGGUAGAGAAUACCAAGGCGCUUGAGAGAACUCGGGUGAAGGAACUAGGCAAAAUGGUGCCGUAACUUCGGGAGAAGGCACGCUGACAC